AAAAUGUGUUGUCUUGAUAAUUACAUGUUUACAGUACGUCACCGUGUUGGUUUCCUGUUUCUCUUAUUUCUGUAUCCAUAGGCGAAUGGGAAAGAAGGGAAGCAGCAGAGGAAACAUCGAUACUCUGACAGACCAGCCUAGGUUUCCCUCUGUGUGUGACACACUCUUAUUGAUUCACACACAAACAAGUCAAAGAGGUCUAAUCCCUUCCCUGACGACAGGUUAUAUCAGCUAAGGCCUCCUGUGACUCCACCAGCUGACAAAUCAAAUCCAAAUCAAUCUGGAGGAGGAAAAAGUGACUGUAUCACGGUGACUGUUAGGGGCAGCUGGCACGGUACAGCCUGCCAGGAUGCCGUGGCAGAGGCCGUGGCAGUGUCUGGUCCAGGAGCCCGAGGCCUGCAGCUAAUACCAGUCAAAUCAUAUGACGCCUACAGUGUGACACGAGUGUGAGGAGCUCCGAUCGGAGCUGCAGCAACCUGGCAUGCGCAUGUAUAUGGGUGUAGGUGUUGGUCAUGUGGUGUUUUGGAAAGUAGUUUUACUGUGAGAGUGGUUGUUUUGGUACACACUAAAUGAAAUACUGUAUGGAUGGGAUAAACUGACAUUUUCUAUAAACAAACGUUUGUUGGGGGGGGCAUGAUAAUAGUUGGAUGUACUCCUGCUUUUAUGUGAUGCUGUAACUGAUGCUGUCACAUAUUUACACUAAGUGUUAUGCAUUUAUUAUGUGUUAUAUUCAAGUCUGUGUUCUGUGUUUUACCUGCCCGCCAGAUAAAUUCCCCUCUGGGACAAUACGGAUGAAGUUGAUGCUGAAGUGCAUAAACAGCCGACAGCUUGGAGCUGAGGUUUAUUAUUUUUACCACCCACGUUAAAGCCUCUUUUUUCACUAAUAAAAAAUAAAAAAAAUAGUGAAUAAGUAACAUGAAGGCAGGAGAUGAUUCAGGACGUGGUUUUAUAAAUCAAACUGCAAGUCAACCCAGAGCAGGAACGCAGCUAGCUAGGGGGUGCUUUAGCCUCGUCACAAAUCUGCGUAGCCCCAGAUAAGCAUUUUAGUUUUUUUUUUGUUUUGAAUAAAAAAAUAUGUAAAAGUUAAUUAACAGCUCAUUGGAUCCCAAUACAAUACCUGGCUGCGUGCUCGUGCCACCCGUGUACCCUAUGACGUGUGUGUGUGUGGGCUGAAUGUUAUUCAUUUCCUUUCUGACAUAGUGAUAGCCAUUUCAUCUGAAACAUUAUUAACAAUGCACAGUUGUCUGAUUAUGCAAAUGGAAUAAAUUAACUUCUUGUUGUUAUUGUCACAUCUUGGAUGUAUUGUGCUGUUAUUAAUUGUGGCUGCAUGGGUGUUGUCCGGUGCUGAAGUCUUUCACCUUUGAACAUUAAAGAUGUUUUGUCAUA
Sander lucioperca (pikeperch) is the source of this 1386-nucleotide long non-coding RNA. RefSeq lists it as uncharacterized. The transcript is spliced from 3 exons. The record is from RefSeq and is a predicted model, not a curated record. NCBI's taxonomy places the organism in Eukaryota, Metazoa, Chordata, Actinopteri, Perciformes, Percidae.